GAUGAACGCUGGCGGCGUGCCUAAUACAUGCAAGUCGAGCGAACAGACGAGGAUCUUGCUCCUCGGACGUUAGCCGCGGACGGGUGAGUAACACGUGUAUAACCUACCUAUAAUACUGAUAUCACUUCGGGACACCGGAUCUAAUAGCGUAUAAGAUCUUGAAGCACAUUGUUCAAUGGUGAAAGUCGGCGGUGCUGUCACUUCUAGAUGGAUCUCCGCCGCAUUAGAUAGUUGUGAAGUUAACGGCUUAUCAAGGCGACGAGGCGUAGCCGACCUGAGAGGGGGAUAGCCGACACUGGAACGGAGCCACGGUCAAGAGUCCUACGGGAGGCAGCAGUCGGGAACCGUACGCAGUGGGCGAAAGUAUGACGGAGCAAGGGCGCGUGAGUGACGAAGGUGUCCGGAGCGUAAUACUGUGUUACUAGGGAUAAACAAAUGUGUACGUAACUAUGCACGUCUUGACGGUAACUAAUCAGAAAGCACCGGCUAACUACGUG
RNAcentral lists this ribosomal RNA (497 nucleotides) under uncultured bacterium. Its description in RNAcentral is "partial 16S ribosomal RNA". It matches the Rfam family "Bacterial small subunit ribosomal RNA", at positions 28 to 507 of the family's 1533-position model. The record is from RNAcentral.